Molecule: long non-coding RNA, 747 nt
Organism: Mobula hypostoma (lesser devil ray)
Lineage: Eukaryota; Metazoa; Chordata; Chondrichthyes; Myliobatiformes; Myliobatidae
Exons: 3
Source: RefSeq, a predicted model, not a curated record
GGGAGAUCAUGGAAGAGUCAGCAGACCUUGUUCUUUUCUCCUACUAUAUGCAAAAACAGUACUGAUCCUGCCUGACCUGCUGAGUUCCUCCAGCAUUUUGUGUGUGUUGCUCUGGAUUUCCAGCAUCUGCAGAAUCCUUUGUGUAUACACUAUGUUAGCUUCCGAGUAAGACUAAAGAAGUGGUUUGGGGUGAUAUCAGGAUGAGCGGAGUGACAUUUGCAAUCUUCCAGUCCUCCGGAACCAUGCCAGAAUCUAUUGUCAUGUGUGACGCCAAGCAGAGCUACCGGACGGAUGAUGCUAAUGAGAGAGAUAAUGAAAGACAAUGGAGAAACAUUCAAAAUGCUAAUAAGAGAGAAGAGAGGAAUUAACAGGAAAGAAACACAAUUCAGAUAUUGACAGACCGGUUGCUUUGAACCUGAACUGUUUGAAGUUUGAUGAACAGGUGAUACCCCAGCAGGGGGAUAAAAGGAGCAGGUUUGCUAAGGCACAAGACAUGCGACGAGACCCUGGAACGAGCAGUGUGCCCCCACAAGUGGUGAGAGUUUGGAGGACCGGUUCGCGGGAACCCAUCAGAGACUCACAGGGUGUAAAGGUAUGAUCGGUGGGAACCUGGGGUGUGUGUCUGCCCUUGCCUGGGUGCCGGGUUCACCACAUAAGAACAAUCGUAUCCAGAACGGCGGGGUCACAGUCGAUGACCACAGGGGGAUUAGAAGACAUCAAAAGGUCUGCCUGAAACCAAUUGCAUCU